RNAcentral lists this ribosomal RNA (519 nucleotides) under uncultured eukaryote. RNAcentral describes it as "SSU rRNA". It matches the Rfam family "Eukaryotic small subunit ribosomal RNA", at positions 1161 to 1699 of the family's 1831-position model. The record is from RNAcentral.
AGGGCACCACCAGGAGUGGAGCCUGCGGCUUAAUUUGACUCAACACGGGGAAACUUACCCGGCCUGGACACUGGAAGGAUUGACAGAUUGAGAGCUCUUUCUUGAUUCAGUGGGUGGUGGUGCAUGGCCGUUCUUAGUUGGUGGAGCGAUUUGUCUGGUUAAUUCCGAUAACGAACGAGACUCUAGCCUAUUAAAUAGGCUCCCGGCUUUUAAACGCCGGGAGGACUUCUUAGAGGGACAGGUGGCGGUUCAGCCGCACGAAAGAGAGCAAUAACAGGUCUGUGAUGCCCUUUGUUGUCCGGGGCCUCACGCGCGCUACACUGAAGAGAUCAGCGUGCUUUAUGUUCCUGCUCCGACCGGAGUGGGGAACCCAGUGAACCUUCUUCGUGAUUGGGAUAGAAGAUUGUAAUUAUUCUUCUUGAACGAGGAAUUCCCAGUAAAUGCGAGUCAUAAGCUCGCGUUGAUUACGUCCCUGCCCUUUGUACACACCGCCCGUCGCUACUACCGAUUGAACGAUUU